UACAGAGGGUGCAAGCGUUAUUCGGAAUUACUGGGCAUAAAGAGCGCGUAGGCGGUUUCGUAAGUCUGAUGUGAAAUCCCUGGACUCAAUUCAGGAAGUGCAUCGGAUACUGCGAGACUAGAGUACAGGAGGGGAGAGCGGAAUUCCUGGUGUAGAGGUGAAAUUCGUAGAUAUCAGGAGGAACAACAGUGGCGAAGGCGGCUCUCUGGACUGUUACUGACGCUGAGGCGCGAAAGCGUGGGGAGCAAACAGG
RNAcentral lists this ribosomal RNA (253 nucleotides) under uncultured bacterium. RNAcentral describes it as "partial 16S ribosomal RNA". It matches the Rfam family "Bacterial small subunit ribosomal RNA", at positions 524 to 776 of the family's 1533-position model. The record is from RNAcentral.